CUAAAACGUAUUUAUAGGACUUAAUUGUAUAUUUGAAGUGUAUCUGCAGGGCAAAAGAUGCUGAUAGAGCGAAAUUUUAUUUAUUGCACAUACUAUUCAACUUGCUGACUAUACACAAGAACCAUUAAUUUAUACUAUUUGCCACUCGUUAUUAUAAUAAAAUGUCGGAAAUUGACACAGAUGACUUUAAGGUAAAGUAUAAACCAAAUGCAACAACAAUAACAAAUAAAUCAUUGGGGAAUUUUCCAAAUGUCAAGCACUUUUUCGAAAUUCUAGUUGAAAAUACAAAUAUUGCAAGUAAACAUGUUGGUCGAUCAUAUCAAUAUAAUCAAAAUGUGGAGAGAUAUCGUUAUUUUUCAGCCCAUGGACUUUUUAUGGAUUAUUUUAUAAGGAAACAUUUGUCCAAUAAAUAUAAUAUUAAAAUAACGGAUUCACGCACAGAGCACAUUCUGGAAAAUCCGGAUGAUUACAUUAUUGGUAAAAAUGUAAAACUACGGGAUUCUAUUAAAGAACAUUAUGAAAUUUUUAAAGAUUCCAACACCCAGGCAAUGGAUAUUAUUGAAAGUAUUAAAUUUGUAUCACUUUCGCAUAUAAUAUUUUUUAGAGAACCGAUACCAGCACACGCACGAGUACACAGUAAAUGAGGAUAAUUUACAUGAAAUUAUAAGAUAUUUUGAAAGACUGCCAUAUAAAACGGUAGAAUUGAAUCCUAAACUAGACUGUGAUUAUUUCUAUGCAGAUGGCGAUUUAAUAUUUGACAACGAUGUUAUAUACGAAAUAAAGACCUCCAAAUUUAAAUCCCUUACAUAUGACAAGCAUAUGAUACCUUUGAGUAAGUUCUAUCAAACGAUUAUCUAUGGAUUUGGUCUCUACAAAAAUGCUGGCAUUAAAGUGAAAAAGUUCAAAAUCUACAAUCCCUUAUUGGGAGAUGAGUUUUCUAUUGAAUUGGAUAAUAUUGAUUUUGAGUUAUUCGAAAAUGUUCUAAAGCGCGAUGUUGGAGUCUUCAGUCGUUUGCAUGAAAUUUUAAUGGAUGAAAUGGUAUUGGACAUGUCGUUAUUUUCUGGAAAAGAAGACGUAAAAUAAAGUUAUACAAAUUUGCAUUACUUUCAUAAAAUAUAGUUUUGUAUUGUAUUCAAAAGAUUUCAAUUUAAAUCAAACUAUUUUUUUUAUAUUAUACAAUUUAUAUGAGCAUUUAAAUAAAACCUUUUUCUAAAAAUGUU
This is a long non-coding RNA of Calliphora vicina (urban bluebottle blowfly), 1220 nucleotides long. RefSeq lists it as uncharacterized. The transcript is spliced from 2 exons. Lineage: Eukaryota; Metazoa; Arthropoda; Insecta; Diptera; Calliphoridae. The record is from RefSeq and is a predicted model, not a curated record.